UGAAAUUCAGUCCAUGAUUACGCUAAGAUUUCAAGCUUUGUCUGUUGUUUUUAACAUUGUACUUUGAAGCUGAGUGCUGACUUUUAAUUGUUCCUCAUUUGCUCCAAUAACAACCAGCUCGUUUUUUUCUUCAUUUAAUUUAGGAAACAUAGCCAAAUGUG
This is a long non-coding RNA of Etheostoma cragini (Arkansas darter), 161 nucleotides long. RefSeq lists it as uncharacterized. Lineage: Eukaryota; Metazoa; Chordata; Actinopteri; Perciformes; Percidae. The record is from RefSeq and is a predicted model, not a curated record. The transcript has 3 exons.